AACGAACGCUGGCGGCAGGCCUAACACAUGCAAGUCGAGCGCGCCCUUCGGGGUGAGCGGCGGACGGGUGAGUAACGCGUGGGAACGUACCCUUUGCUACGGAAUGGUCUCGGGAAACUGGGGGUAAUACCGUAUGAGCCCUUCGGGGGAAAGAUUUAUCGGCAAAGGAUCGGCCCGCGUUGGAUUAGGUAGUUGGUGGGGUAAUGGCCCACCAAGCCGACGAUCCAUAGCUGGUUUGAGAGGAUGAUCAGCCACACUGGGACUGAGACACGGCCCAGACUCCUACGGGAGGCAGCAGUGGGGAAUCUUAGACAAUGGGCGCAAGCCUGAUCUAGCCAUGCCGCGUGAGCGAUGAAGGCCUUAGGGUUGUAAAGCUCUUUCGUGGGGGAAGAUAAUGACUGUACCCCAAGAAGAAGCCCCGGCUAACUCCGUGCCAGCAGCCGACGGUAAAAUAGCGUACU
RNAcentral lists this ribosomal RNA (461 nucleotides) under uncultured bacterium. Its description in RNAcentral is "bacterial SSU rRNA". It matches the Rfam family "Bacterial small subunit ribosomal RNA", at positions 29 to 531 of the family's 1533-position model. The record is from RNAcentral.